CUACGGGCCGCUGCAGUCGAGAAUCUUUUUCAAUGGGCGAAAGCCUGAAAAUGCGACGCCGCGUGGGGGAUGAAGGUCUUCGGAUUGUAAACCCAUUUUAUCGGAGAGGAACUUUUUGAUACGAACAAUGUCAAGAAUUGACUGUACCCGGUGAAUAAGCCACGGCUAACUCCGUGCCAGCAGCCGCGGUAAUACGGAGGUGGCGAGCGUUACUCGGUUUGAUUGGGUGUAAAGGGUCCGCAGGCGGUUAUGCAAGUGAAAGGUGAAAUCUUUCAGCUCAACUGAAAAACUGCCUUUCAAACUGCAUAACUAGAGGAUGGGAGAGGAGAGUGGAACUACCGGUGUAAAGGUGAAAUUUGUGGAUAUCGGUAGGAACGCCCGUGGAGAAAUCGGCUCUCUGGUCCAUACCUGACGCUCAGGGACGAAAGCUAGGGGAGCGAACAGGAUUAGAUACCCGCGUAGUC
This 464-nucleotide ribosomal RNA is filed under the name uncultured bacterium. RNAcentral's name for it is "partial 16S ribosomal RNA". It matches the Rfam family "Bacterial small subunit ribosomal RNA", at positions 339 to 795 of the family's 1533-position model. The record is from RNAcentral.